AUGGAGUUUGGACUGAGCUGGGUUUUCCUUGUGGCUAUUUUAAAACGGUGUAUCUCUGUGUUUGCAAUUAUCCAGUGUGAGGUGCAGCUGGUGGAGUCUGGGGGAGGCGUGGUACAGCCUGAGGGGUCCCUCAGACUCUCCUGUGCAGCCUCUGGAUUCACCUUUGAUGAUUAUGGCAUGGACUGGGUCCGCGAAGCUCCAGGGAAGGGCCUGGGUCUCAUUUAUUAAUCGGGAUGGUAGUAGCGCGUACUAUUCAGAUUCUGUGAAGGCCAAUUCACCAUCUUCAGAAACAGUUCCAAGAACUCCCUGCAUCUGCAAAUGAACAGUCUGAGAGCUGAGGACACAGCCUUGUAUUACUGUGCAGGAGAUACACUGAGAGAGGAAGUCAGUGAGAGCCCAGACACAAACCUCCCUGCAGGAAGACAGGAGGGGUCUUGGCAGCAGGGGGCGCUCAGGACUCACUGA
RNA transcript from Rhinopithecus roxellana (golden snub-nosed monkey), 465 nucleotides. It is a transcript of the gene named immunoglobulin heavy variable 3-43D-like, with no coding region annotated. Lineage: Eukaryota; Metazoa; Chordata; Mammalia; Primates; Cercopithecidae. The transcript is spliced from 2 exons. The record is from RefSeq and is a predicted model, not a curated record.